UACGUAGGGUGCGAGCGUUAAUCGGAAUUACUGGGCGUAAAGCGUGCGCAGGCGGUUUUGUAAGACAGAUGUGAAAUCCCCGGGCUCAACCUGGGAACUGCAUUUGUGACUGCAUCGCUGGAGUGCGGCAGAGGGGGAUGGAAUUCCGCGUGUAGCAGUGAAAUGCGUAGAUAUGCGGAGGAACACCGAUGGCGAAGGCAAUCCCCUGGGCCUGCACUGACGCUCACGCACGAAAGCGUGGGGAGCAAACAGG
Molecule: ribosomal RNA, 253 nt
Filed under: uncultured bacterium
Lineage: Bacteria
Description: partial 16S ribosomal RNA
Rfam family: Bacterial small subunit ribosomal RNA
Source: RNAcentral